Molecule: ribosomal RNA, 839 nt
Filed under: Brotia henriettae
Lineage: Eukaryota; Metazoa; Mollusca; Gastropoda; Pachychilidae
Description: partial 16S ribosomal RNA
Rfam family: Bacterial large subunit ribosomal RNA
Source: RNAcentral
AAAAUAGGUUUUUGAGAUUAUAAACUUAAUAAGCUGUUUUAUAUUUUAGUUUACUAAGGAUAAGCUUAGUAAAAAUAUGGAAAAUGUAUCAAACUAAAUAAAUUAUGUAGGCUUGAAAUUAGCCAUCAUAGUAGAACUUGUUACAAAAUAAUUUACAAAAUCUGUAAAAUUUUAAUACUUAUUUUCUCAUAUUUAUUAUAGGGGUAAUAGAAAAAAUUGGUAAAUCUAAUUUACGAAUGCUAAGAUGAGUAUUUUUAAGUUUUUAAGAAGAUAAAAUAUUGGAAAAUAUCUAUAAUAAUAGUUUUUUAAAAGAAGAAAUAAGGGGAAGGAAUUCGGCAAAUAUAAGCUCCGCCUGUUUAUCAAAAACAUGGCUCUUUGUUAAUUUAAUAUAGAGAGUCAGGCCUGCCCAGUGAAAAUUUUUAACGGCUGCAGUACCCUGACUGUGCAAAGGUAGCAUAAUCAUUUGCCUUAUAAUUGAAGGCUUGUAUGAAUGGUUCGACGAGAGCAUUGCUGUCUCCCCCUUAAUAAAUAAAAUUUGACCUUUAGGUGAAGAGGCCUAAAUAUAAUUGAAAGACAAGAAGACCCUAUCGAGCUUAAAAAUUAAAUUAGAAGCUAUUAUAAACCUAAAUCCAAUGCUAACUCAUUUUUUGAUUGGGGCGAUCAAGGAACAACAGAAGCUUCCUUUAUUUAUUCUAACUUAUAAGUAUUGAUCCAGUUAAAGCUGAUUAAAAGAAUUAGUUACCGUAGGGAUAACAGCAUAAUCUCUUUUAAGAGACCUAAUCGAAAAAGGGGGUUGUGACCUCGAUGUUGGACUAGAAUAUCCUAAAGGUGCAGAAGUC